Long non-coding RNA from Telopea speciosissima, 192 nucleotides. RefSeq lists it as uncharacterized. The transcript has 3 exons. The record is from RefSeq and is a predicted model, not a curated record. Lineage: Eukaryota; Viridiplantae; Streptophyta; Magnoliopsida; Proteales; Proteaceae.
CUGAAAUCUAGAGUUCUGAAGACUGGAGAAGCCCAAGCCUUAGUGUCACCGAACCAGGUUCCGAAUUCUGAGUCCUCCAACCAUUAGAUAAAUGAUGAGGGCCAAAAGUGGGAACUAUUGGAACUGGAAAGAAGGGAAGUUAUUGGUGAAAAACUAAUGUUGAACCCAAGUUACAAGGCUCCAUCUACAAGC